This 567-nucleotide long non-coding RNA is filed under the name Equus caballus (horse). RNAcentral's name for it is "lncRNA (ENSECAG00000048375.1)". The record is from RNAcentral. Lineage: Eukaryota; Metazoa; Chordata; Mammalia; Perissodactyla; Equidae.
CUUUACUGGAAGGACUUGCCUGUCCCCAUCCCUCCAGCACUGAGCCUCGAAGGGAGGAGAGAAUGGGGGAGGGGGAGGUUGGCUUUCUGGCCUUCCCACUGUGACUCAUAGAACUUCUUUCCCCAGAAGGGAAAGCAGACUUCAGCCCCGCACUUUUGAGUCCUGAGGGCUCUGCAGGAAGCAGGAGGAACACAGGUUCACUAUGUGCUUACUGCCUCCCAGGCCCCAUCAGAGCAUCUCUAAGAAGGCACCCUUCCUCCAAGGAACGCACGAACAGGAGGUUUCAGCGCCAGGACAGCGAGGCAGCAGUUUCCAAGCAGUGGGACUUUUCUGGACUGAACUGGAGAUUCAUGGAGGGAGCCAGGAGGAGUAACCAGCAUCUAGGGUGGGACAGAGGAGGAGCGUGUGCCUGUGGAGCUGGUGCAGACCUGGUGUGGUGCAAAGGCUUGAUGGCCACCUCUCUGCACAUGACCCUCGGGGUAGAGAGAAAAAGGACAAGGACAGGACCUCCUGGAGCUCAAAGUCAGUUGACACUCCAGAGCUCUGUACAGUUUACAAGCAAUUUCC